CCUACGGGUGGCAGCAGUGAGGAAUAUUGGUCAAUGGGCGUAAGCCUGAACCAGCAACGCCGCGUGAAGGAAGAAGGCUUUCGGGUUGUAAACUUCUUUUAAGGGGGAAGAGCAGAAGACGGUACCCCUUGAAUAAGCCACGGCUAACUACGUGCCAGCAGCCGCGGUAAUACGUAGGUGGCAAGCGUUGUCCGGAUUUACUGGGUGUAAAGGGCGUGCAGCCGGAGAGACAAGUCAGAUGUGAAAUCCACGGGCUCAACCCGUGAACUGCAUUUGAAACUGUUUCCCUUGAGUGUCGGAGAGGUAAUCGGAAUUCCUUGUGUAGCGGUGAAAUGCGUAGAUAUAAGGAAGAACACCAGUGGCGAAGGCGGAUUACUGGACGAUAACUGACGGUGAGGCGCGAAAGCGUGGGGAGCAAACAGGAUUAGAUACCCCAGUAGUC
RNAcentral lists this ribosomal RNA (442 nucleotides) under uncultured bacterium. RNAcentral's name for it is "partial 16S ribosomal RNA". It matches the Rfam family "Bacterial small subunit ribosomal RNA", at positions 338 to 795 of the family's 1533-position model. The record is from RNAcentral.